Molecule: ribosomal RNA, 650 nt
Filed under: Staphylococcus aureus
Lineage: Bacteria; Bacillati; Bacillota; Bacilli; Caryophanales; Staphylococcaceae
Description: partial 23S ribosomal RNA
Rfam family: Bacterial large subunit ribosomal RNA
Source: RNAcentral
UCGAUUCCCUUAGUAGCGGCGAGCGAAACGGGAAGAGCCCAAACCAACAAGCUUGCUUGUUGGGGUUGUAGGACACUCUAUACGGAGUUACAAAGGACGACAUUAGACGAAUCAUCUGGAAAGAUGAAUCAAAGAAGGUAAUAAUCCUGUAGUCGAAAAUGUUGUCUCUCUUGAGUGGAUCCUGAGUACGACGGAGCACGUGAAAUUCCGUCGGAAUCUGGGAGGACCAUCUCCUAAGGCUAAAUACUCUCUAGUGACCGAUAGUGAACCAGUACCGUGAGGGAAAGGUGAAAAGCACCCCGGAAGGGGAGUGAAAUAGAACCUGAAACCGUGUGCUUACAAGUAGUCAGAGCCCGUUAAUGGGUGAUGGCGUGCCUUUUGUAGAAUGAACCGGCGAGUUACGAUUUGAUGCAAGGUUAAGCAGUAAAUGUGGAGCCGUAGCGAAAGCGAGUCUGAAUAGGGCGUUUAGUAUUUGGUCGUAGACCCGAAACCAGGUGAUCUACCCUUGGUCAGGUUGAAGUUCAGGUAACACUGAAUGGAGGACCGAACCGACUUACGUUGAAAAGUGAGCGGAUGAACUGAGGGUAGCGGAGAAAUUCCAAUCGAACCUGGAGAUAGCUGGUUCUCUCCGAAAUAGCUUUAGGGCUAGC